CCUACGGGGGGCAGCAGUGAGGAAUAUUGGUCAAUGGACGAGAGUCUGAACCAGCCAAGUAGCGUGAAGGAUGACUGCCCUAUGGGUUGUAAACUUCUUUUAUAUGGGAAUAAAACGUUCCACGUGUGGGAUUUUGUAUGUACCAUAUGAAUAAGGAUCGGCUAACUCCGUUCCAUCAGCCGCGGUAAUACGGAGGAUCCGAGCAUUAUUCGGAUUUAUUGGGGUUAAAGGGAGCGUAGGUGGAUUGUUAAGUCAGUUGUGAAAGUUUGCGGCUUAACCGUAAAAUUGCAGUUGAUACUGGCAGUCUUGAGUACAGUAGAGGUGGGCGGAAUUCGUGGUGUAGCGGUGAAAUGCUUAGAGAUCACGAAGAACUCCGAGUGCGAAGGCAGUUCACUGGACUGCAACUGACACUGAGGCUCGAAAGUGUGGGUAUCAAACAGGAUGAGAUACCCCGGUAGUC
This 460-nucleotide ribosomal RNA is filed under the name uncultured bacterium. RNAcentral describes it as "partial 16S ribosomal RNA". It matches the Rfam family "Bacterial small subunit ribosomal RNA", at positions 338 to 795 of the family's 1533-position model. The record is from RNAcentral.